GCAGUACUACAGGGAUUGCCUCAGUAACGGCGAGUGAAGCGGCAAAAGCUCAAAUUUGAAAUCUGGUAGUUUCACUGCCCGAGUUGUAAUUUGAAGAACGGUUCUUGUAGCGCAGCCUUUGUCUAUGUUCCUUGGAACAGGACGUCACAGAGGGUGAGAAUCCCGUGAGAUGGGGGGUGUGCUGCUUGUAGAGCCAGUUCGACGAGUCGAGUUGUUUGGGAAUGCAGCUCUAAGUGGGUGGUAAAUUCCAUCUAAAGCUAAAUAUUGGCGAGAGACCGAUAGCGAACAAGUACAGUGAUGGAAAGAUGAAAAGAACUUUGAAAAGAGAGUGAAAAAGUACGUGAAAUUGUUGAAAGGGAAGGGCAUUUGAUCAGACUUGGUGGGGGAGUACUGGCAGGCACUUGUUGCCUGUUUACUGCUCUCUUGCUGGGCCAGCAUCGAUUCGUGUGGCAGGACAACCGGCUGGGAACGUGGCUGCUUGCAGUGUUAUAGCCCAGCCUUCUACUGCCUACGUGGAUCGAGGACUGCG
Molecule: ribosomal RNA, 529 nt
Filed under: Starmera caribaea
Lineage: Eukaryota; Fungi; Ascomycota; Saccharomycetes; Phaffomycetales; Phaffomycetaceae
Description: LSU rRNA
Rfam family: Eukaryotic large subunit ribosomal RNA
Source: RNAcentral